UAUGUGAACUUACCACUUGUUGCUUCGGCGCGCGCUUCGGCGCCGCCGAGGACACUUAAACUCUUUGUUUUUAUAAGCAUUUCUGAGUGGCCGAAAGGCAAAAAUACAAAUGAAUCAAAACUUUCAACAACGGAUCUCUUGGUUCUGGCAUCGAUGAAGAACGCAGCGAAAUGCGAUAAGUAAUGUGAAUUGCAGAAUUCAGUGAAUCAUCGAAUCUUUGAACGCACAUUGCGCCCGCCAGCAUUCUGGCGGGCAUGCCUGUUCGAGCGUCAUUUCAACCCUCGAGCCCGACUCUUCGGAGGACGGCUCGGCGUUGGGGGACGGCAGACUCCCCCCGGCAUCUCGCCGGGGACGCCGCCCCCGAAAUUUAGUGGCGGCCCUCCGAGGCGACCUCUGCGUAGUAACUUGUUCUCGCACCGGAAAGCUCAGAGCGGCCACGCCGUAAAACCCCAACUUUUUUUAGGUUGACCUCGAAUCAG
RNAcentral lists this ribosomal RNA (479 nucleotides) under Leptobacillium leptobactrum. Its description in RNAcentral is "eukaryotic LSU rRNA". The stretch from base 119 to 272 matches the Rfam family "5.8S ribosomal RNA". The record is from RNAcentral. Lineage: Eukaryota; Fungi; Ascomycota; Sordariomycetes; Hypocreales; Cordycipitaceae.